UCAUUGGUGGCUUGGUAGUAGAAUUCUUGCCCUCUGUGCAGGAGGCCCAGGUUUGAUUCCUGGCCAGUGUC
RNAcentral lists this transfer RNA (71 nucleotides) under Loxodonta africana (African savanna elephant). It matches the Rfam family "tRNA". Rfam says of the family: Transfer RNA (tRNA) molecules are approximately 80 nucleotides in length. Their secondary structure includes four short double-helical elements and three loops (D, anti-codon, and T loops). The record is from Rfam by way of RNAcentral. Lineage: Eukaryota; Metazoa; Chordata; Mammalia; Proboscidea; Elephantidae.